GCGGUGUCAGAGCCAACGUGGGCUUGGACUUUGGGCCGUCAGGGCUUUCUAUGGACAGGUGGGCUGAAUUAGGCCCAUGGACGCACAGAGCAGGGCAAGGGCAAGGGCAACGCUGAAAAGUGGAGACGCGGGAGGCUAGGCCGGCGUGGCGCCAAAAGUAACCCUACCGCCGUCCCCUUUCGUCUCUCCUGCCGGCGCGACGCAGGGGCGAACUCGGGGUCGGAGAGUCAGUACCCCCGGCGACCUUCCCGGCCCUCCAGAUAAAACCUGGCACUGCAUCUCACAGUAAGACAGAGGCAGUUUCAUAGAGAAAAGUAUUAGCUUGGCUGCCUCAGCAGUACCUUGUUGGCAGUCCAGAAGGUGCUGCAGAAAUCAUUGGUGGCAAGUUCUUUAUGCUUGGGUGACCCUUCGCUGUUUUUGUUGUUGUUGUACAGAUCAAUGCAGUCUUAUUUAAUUAGUUCCUUUUUGGAUUAAUCUGAACGAUGCAGUAGAACCAAAUCCCAAACCGGUGUCACCAGUAACAAAGCUGAAGGGGCCAACGACCACCACUGAUGGCGUUGUGGUGUGAGAACAUGUCGUUGCCGCCCCGUGUCCUUGUUGCUCCCCGUGAGUUCCCCCAAUCCCCUGAACAUUUCUUGUACUGCUUCCACUGCUGUAUGGUGUAUUCUAUUUUAAGCUCUGUUAGUUUGUGUGGCCUGGUUGAAAGGAGAACAGGAUUUAAUAAGUCCGCUAGCUGGUGAUCGCCUCUAGCAUCCGAUUUAUGGUGGGAGACCCAUAUUUAUACUCAGACCACAUUGUGUUUCUUUGCAGGCCCUUCUGGUGCCAAUGGUCAAGGGAAUAUUCUAUUACUUCGCCAUCCGAAACUAGGUGCCCAAGCCUACUACUUCAGUAUAAGUUUCUGAUCGCUGAGGACAUAGAAAAAUACAUGAUGAUGCUUGUGGCUUGUGAUUGGUCUAUUGUCAAUUUAGAGUAGUUCUGUUGUAGAAGCAUCCUUUAAAGAUAAACCAACAGCUUGCAUUGACUCUUCCUUAUCGUCAAACAGAAGAAGAAACACAGUAUCUGUUCACUGAUGGCCAACUUCAUGAAUUCAAUUGGUUUAAGGAGCGUUAUGGUUCUUGGUUCUUGGGAGAUUAUGUCUGUGAAGGUAUGGUGGAAGCAUAAACCAGCCAUGCAGUUUUGCCAUUGCUCUGCAAAACUUGAUUUAUUUUCCUUAGGGGUGAAGCCCAUAACUUAUUGUCGUUUCCUAUAGGCAGCUUAUGUGGUUUGUUGGUUUGUUACCUUGCCUCAGCAAACCUGCCAGUUAAAAUUUAUAACACAAGAAAAUCAGAUAUUGCCUUAGUUUUAAGGAACAUGAUAAUAAUAUAAACUUAUAAAGGAAUGAGGAUGUUCUUCUCAUUCGCUAUUUUGCAUAUCAUGUAGAACACAUCAAUAUAAAUCUACCUUGCUUCUGCAGUGAAUUUAAGUACCUGGUUUUGCUAUUGAAUCCUGCUUUCCUUCCUACAGAUGGUAGCGUUUACUAUUGCACACUUGUUGACCCCAUCUUCAUUCUUCUACCACUUUUCGAAGCUGCACGUAUGUCGGUAUGUGUGGUCAAAGAUACAUUUUAUUGUACAUGAUUCAUAUUUCAUCUAGCUUUUUUUUUCAAUUUAAAAGCAAUUCCUUUUCCCGUGUCGCAGAACGGUAAGGAUCUGGGAAAAUUCAGACAGCUGGAUGAAAUUUUAUACAUCGAAGGUUAUCCUGGAUAUCAGCACCUCAUGAGCAUAGCAGGAAAGCAUAUGGAACUGGUUUGUGAAGUUAAAGGUAGGUCUUUGGAAUAUAUAUUUGAUGUACAAUUACAACGAUAUCAAGUUGCUGUGACAUUGUUAGUUACUAGUACUCCCUUGCAAGUUGCAACCUGUCAGUUGUUCCCUUUGACCACUUGCUACUGCUUGUGUCCGAAACUUGCUACUGCUUGUUUUCUUUUUCCCUUUGACCCUUUGACCACUUGCUACUGCUUGUGUCCGAAACUACAAUGUUACUAUACAUUAGACAGUUCAUAAAUGCGAUCUUGUUUUCUUUUUCUUGGAUGAUGGUUUCCUACCGGUUUUACUGCCAGACACAAUAACUUUUACCCUUUUUUGUUGUUUAUGGCACAAAUUAUUUCUGUACUUGCAUACUGUGAGAACAUAUCCAAUAAAUCUUACAGAAUUAUUUGGUUUUGAUGUUAUCUUUCCUGCAGAAGUUGCUAAUAUGAAGUUCUUCAGGCUAGAUGAUUCCAAGGUCUUAACUUGGCUGUGCUGUAAGGUAGGUUGUGUCAGUUCUUACUCUGCCAACUUUCACUAUGCUCCCCUAUUGAUCUUUAUCCUUGCUGGAGAAGGCUAGUUCUGCAUUGCAUUUUAUGAAAGCAAUGACGUGAACUGCAGUUAGGGUUGGAGGUAUGCUAUACCACAUUAAGAACAGACACACACUUCUGAUUAUUGAAAUCACUUAAAUGUUUAUUGUUGUUUGCCUUGCACAAGGAUGUUAACAAUGAAGUCCCAAGUUCAGACUACUAAAUCAUAAUUCGUCCACACCAUUUUGUAGUUUGCUUUGAUUAGAUAGGUUGUAUAAGAAGGCAGGUUCAGAAAACAUUGACCACAUUGGACACUUCGUAGGGUAUGCACAAUUUGUGCUUUAUUUGUCAUAUCCAGAACCAUAGCUAACUUACAUACCUCCCGCCCUAACUGCAUCCAGAGGCUGGCCCUGGAAAGGAUUGAGUCAACCAGCACGGGUCGUGGCAUCUUCAAAGAGCGCAGUCAUUCUGCAGUGGUGCAGUCUCCAUAUCCCUUGUAACGUGAGGAUGAUGGGAGAUCACACUCCCUUCAUCUUGUCAGGACCGGCACUCUCGGCCGUGCUCUCAAUCCAGCUGUUGAAGCUAUCAUCGACUUGCAAUGCGAUCAACUGAAGGGAGAACUUUGGGCGUACCUUGCCACAUUUAUGAGCGAAGCAGCCAGUGAGUAGGCAUGGGAUUGUCUCAUUUGCUUGAGAACAUCAGAGAGCAGUUGCUGAGAAGGUGAUGAGUGUUUGGUUUAGUGACUACUAACUAGUGAGCAGCAGAGUCCUACAGCACGAUCAUCUGAGUGCAGGAUAAUAAGGCUGCUUAUUAACUGAUGAGCCGUUUGUUGUCACAAAAAUAUUUAAGAUAUACCAUUCAUUGAGAAACCAAUGUAAUGCAUCUUGUCAUGUUCUCUACCUGCAUGGAGGUGGCCCUGACAAAAACAAGACAAAAGAUAAGAAAAGCUAACUUACUAACUAAACUAGACAGGCAAAGCUAACAAGCAUAAACAUGAACAUAAAAUAGAUAUGCACUGUUGUCGCUAGUUCGCUUAAUCCUUGAAUGAGAGAAAGGAUAACAGUUUCUCAUGGUAAGUUGCUACUCUGUUUUAAUCGAGUUCUGCAAUUACAACCUCAUGGGUGAAUUGAAUUCCAAAUCAUACUUUUUCACUUCCUCUGUACCAUUGAGAAUUAAAUAUCUACUCUCAAUCUCAUUUACAGGUACACAGUAUAAAAGAGGCUAUCUCUAAGUUAGGUAAAAAUUAUGCUGCUCAAGGAGAAAGAGAACUGUGUAUGUCACUGUAACUUCUCGUCAUCUUAUUGCCCAGUUUAUUUUUACAAGUGUCUGUUUAUCUCAUAAUCAAACAGUUUAAUGUUGCUCAUAAGUGCGACAUUGAUAUGACCAUAUUAUAACAUGGGUCAUUGGUGUGAUCUAUAUCCAACAUGCCUUAAGCUAUGACAAUAAACCUCGGACUUCCUUUUCACGUAAAGUUAAGUGUGUAAACUUAAGGGAGCUUUAUAGUAUACUCCCUCCAUUCCAAAAUACUUGUCAUGGUUUUAGUUGAAAAAGUACUAGUCGUGGUUUUAGAUCAAAUUUGAAACGGAGGGAGUAUUGAUCUAAGCCUAGUGGUGGGGUACAGAAAAAGUGACAGAUCAAGUUAUAUGACUCCAUUGGUACCCUUGCUUCUGUAGCACAGCUGAGAUUACCAUCUUUGUGCCAGUAUAACUGUUCAUGUAUCAUGUGUUAUGUACUACUUCAAUAUGAGAAAUUCCAAUAAAAAUGAAAUUCCUGACCCACGUCAGAUUUUAGAACCCUAUCUUAUAAUUUUCUUGAUAAGGUGAACUGUGAUGUUCUUAUGGAGCUGUUUUUACUAUUUGUGCUACAGUGAAAGAGGCUGUCCAAAUAAUUCGUGAAAACCUGAAGGAUGAACCAUGGCUAACAGUACUCUGCAAGAAGUUGCAGUAAGACUUCUCUCUUUCAACAAGAGUCAGUAGUUCCCUCACAAAAAGAAAAGAAAAGAAAGUAGUUUGGUAUUGUCCAUGUGUCUCACGCUAGCACAAUCUGCUUCACUGCAGGUUAGACAUCAAUGAGAUAAAUGAUAUGGCCAAAACCAAUAACACGUCAUUUUGUGCUGAUAGUUCUCCUGUACCUGCUCCAGCUCGUCCCUCAGAGGUAAACUCCUGCAGAAUGUUUUAUCUUUUUGCCAGCGCCCACGCCAUGUUCUCUAAGCUUGUCAAAUGUGUCAAUACAGGGGAGCGUAGGAAAUGGCAGUGCCAAGUCAAGCAAAGGGAGGCCUGCGAAGAAACUGAAGCCUGAGGUAGGAUCAAAGAACAUUAAAGACAUGUUCCGAAGGGUGACAAGGAGUGGGACAUAACCCCGUGCGGCCUGAUUUUAUCAUCAACAUCUCACAGGGUGCUUGAUAUUCUUGGAGUUGCCGGGUUAUCUCCAAAUCUGAUGUGCUGCGAUGCCAUCGACCAUUGUUGGUUCUUGACCCAGAAACCCCUAUAUGUAAGCUGCAUUAGCUCCUUGACGAACCCUGUUGAGCUGCACUAACUGUAGCCUUAGUAAAUCAGAUCUGUAGGGCGUCGAUUCAAUUGUUUGGACUAUGAACCUUGGAAUUUAGUACCCAAAUUGUUAAUCUCAUUGAGCUGCCUGCUGAGGCUGUAACUGAACAUAUGCAGUUGCUUAAGUAACCUGAGCCGGUUGUAAUCUACUCCCUCCGUUCCUAAAUAUUUGUCUUUUUAGAGAUUUCAAAUGGAUACCACAUACAGAUAUAUAUAGACAUAUUUUAGAGUGUAGAUUCACUCAUUUUGCUCCGUAUGUAGUCACUUGUUGAAAUCUCUAGAAAGACAAAUAUUUAGGAAUGGAGGGAGUAGUUUAUUUAUUGUGUUCAUGCUGGCAUCCCUAGUUGCCUAUGACACUGAUAUUCAAGAGUGUACCCAUGAGUAUAACAUUUACAUAGUUAUGAUUCCAGCAGGACGUGGACUGGUAGGAAAAAUAACUGAAGUAACUUUAGGGCCUCUUUGAUUAGCAGGAUUUCUAAACGCGUAAAUAAAAAAGCAUUUAUAUCUAUACCACUAUAUAGCAUACGAAUAAUUUUCAAUAUUGAAUGUUGGAUAAAGCCAAUCUAACGGUUUAGAGAUGACAUUUCUGAGCAUUGUUUGCCAUUGGAUAUCCUAUUUGCUAUGUUAGAUUUUGUCACAUGUACUGUCUAGUACUCCCUCCGUCCGGAAAUACUUGUUGCAUAAAUAGAUAAAAAUGGAUGUAUCUAGAACUAAAAUACGUCUAGAUACAUCCAUUUCGCUGACAAGUAUUUCCGGACGGAGGGAGUAGUUUCCAAUACUAAGGGCAUCUUCAAUAGUUGUAAGAUGGUUGUUGGUAAAUUUGCCACAUAGGACUUUAUCUAUGACAUGUAAUAAACAAGGAGAAAUAACAAGGUUGUAUGUAUAUAAACCAACAACCAUUGCACAAGCUCCAAGCUGAGAUGAGAGAGUAGCCAUAUUUAUUCUCUCACUUUUCGUUGGAAAAGGUACAUGCACUCUAUUGGAGUAGUUGUAUGUAGAGUUGUUGGUUGAUGACAUGGUUAUUUUACCAACAAAACGUACAACCUAUUACAGAGGCUCUAAGCUUUUGCACAGUGCACUUAUAUGAGCAAACCUCAAAGCACUAUAUUUCCUUUGUUCUAGAAUAUUUCAUAGUUUAAUGCUGCCAUCUUUUUUCUUUUAAAUAAAUUGCCAUUUUGUUUACUUUAUGAUUAUCAAUGUGCAAUAUGCACAAACCUCAUCACUUUAUUAAAGAGAAGCGCAAAAUACUUUGUUGCUGCAGUAGUAUAUCAAUGUGCGCAUGCCUCUAAAAAAAUUGUAAUUCACUUUUACUUUAUUUAUUUAUUGUUCAAGGCUUUGUUACUAUCUUCAUAAAAUGAUCUAUAUUUUAUUUUUCAGUGGGACGAUAAUUAAAUCUACAUCUCAUACAUCAUGAAUAUGUGACUCUAAAGUUAUAUAUUUUCUUGCGUUAUAAUGUGGUAUGUCAUAUUCAGUUGUGCUUUGGUUAUGUAUAAGUUCUCACGGGUACCUUACCAGUAGGAGUAGAGCGACAUACCAUCUUGAAACUAUAUAGUUGCAUGAACAUUUGAUUAUGUGCAAGAAAAAAACACAUAGCAUUCUUCACAAGAGGUUGGAGUGGAUGUGAAUUUUCUUAGGAUUCACUUUGGAUCACUGGAUUGAGAACAUAUCAAUAAAGAUGAGCACAAGCAUAUAAUUUCAGAAACAUAGUAUUCUUCACGAGAGGUUGGAGUGGAUGAGAAUUUUCUCAAGACUCCCUCUUUGGAUUGGAUUAGAAACACAUGAAUAGAACAAACAAAACAAUGCCACAGUUUUGUUAGUGCAAAAGAGAGAGUUGCAAAUAUAGGAAUAGUCGUUUGGAUGAAAGACAAUAAAUAUACCUCGAUCCUAUGCGAUUGAGUCUUGGAAAGAGGUGGCAGUUGAUGUUUCAGAUUCCUAUGGGACCGAUACAGGCAAAUCCGAUCCUAGAAUUUUAG
RNAcentral lists this ribosomal RNA (6830 nucleotides) under Triticum aestivum (bread wheat). RNAcentral describes it as "partial small subunit ribosomal RNA". The stretch from base 5505 to 5629 matches the Rfam family "MIR1120/MIR1122 microRNA precursor family". The record is from RNAcentral. Lineage: Eukaryota; Viridiplantae; Streptophyta; Magnoliopsida; Poales; Poaceae.